CUAGUUUUCACUUGACCUCCUGUGCCUGUUAGUUCCCAUGCAGUUCUGAAUUGGUCUUUUGAGCUUUUAGCUAUCGCCAAAGCCUCUGACUGUUCUUCUCUCAAGGCACUUCACUGGGCCUGACUGCAGAAGCACUGCCUGGAGGUGUAGGAAACAUCUCACAAAAAUGGAGCUGAAGGCCAUGGUCUCGGAUGAAAGAGGACAGAGCUCAAAAUAGGGUUUGCUUGGAAAGCCAAAUGUCAAGA
Molecule: long non-coding RNA, 245 nt
Filed under: Homo sapiens (human)
Lineage: Eukaryota; Metazoa; Chordata; Mammalia; Primates; Hominidae
Description: HSALNT0252179
Source: RNAcentral